RNAcentral lists this ribosomal RNA (556 nucleotides) under uncultured bacterium. RNAcentral's name for it is "partial 16S ribosomal RNA". It matches the Rfam family "Bacterial small subunit ribosomal RNA", at positions 355 to 902 of the family's 1533-position model. The record is from RNAcentral.
UGGGGAAUAUUGCACAAUGGGCGCAAGCCUGAUGCAGCCAUGCCGCGUGUGUGAAGAAGGCCUUCGGGUUGUAAAGCACUUUCAGCGAGGAGGAAGGUGGUGAGCUUAAUACGCUCAUCAAUUGACGUUACUCGCAGAAGAAGCACCGGCUAACUCCGUGCCAGCAGCCGCGGUAAUACGGAGGGUGCAAGCGUUAAUCGGAAUUACUGGGCGUAAAGCGCACGCAGGCGGUUUGUUAAGUCAGAUGUGAAAUCCCCGGGCUCAACCUGGGAACUGCAUUUGAAACUGGCAAGCUAGAGUCUCGUAGAGGGGGUAGAAUUCCAGGUGGUAGCGGUGAAAUGCGUAGAGAUCUGGAGGAAUACCGGUGGCGAAGGCGGCCCCCUGGACGAAGACUGACGCUCAGGUGCGAAAGCGUGGGGAGCAAACAGGAUUAGGAUACCCUGGUAGUCCACGCUGUAAACGAUGUCNAUUUGGAGGUUGUGCCCUUGAGGCGUGGCUUCCGGAGCUAACGCGUUAAAUCGACCGCCUGGGGAGUACGGCCGCAAGGUUAAAACUC